UCGAAGGUAGCAUAAUCAGUAGUCUUUUAAUUGAAGGCUGGUAUGAAUGGUUGGACGAGAAAUUAACUGUUUCAUAAAAAUUUAUAAUAGAAUUUUAUUUUUUAGUCAAAAAGCUAAAAUUUAUUUAAAAGACGAGAAGACCCUAUAAAUCUUUAUAUAAGUUUUAUUGUAAUUUUUUAGAUUUAUUUUGUUAUAAUAAAUUAUUAUAUUUUAUUGGGGUGAUAUUAAAAUUUAAUAAACUUUUAAUUUUUAUAAUCAUUAAUAUAUGAAUAAAUGAUCCGUUAAUAACGAUUAAAAAAUUAAGUUACUUUAGGGAUAACAGCGUAAUUUUUUUGGAGAGUUCAUAUCGAUAAAAAAGAUUGCGACCUCGA
This 371-nucleotide ribosomal RNA is filed under the name Stevenia deceptoria. RNAcentral's name for it is "partial 16S ribosomal RNA". Lineage: Eukaryota; Metazoa; Arthropoda; Insecta; Diptera; Rhinophoridae. The record is from RNAcentral.